This is a long non-coding RNA of Stegodyphus dumicola, 1796 nucleotides long. RefSeq lists it as uncharacterized. NCBI's taxonomy places the organism in Eukaryota, Metazoa, Arthropoda, Arachnida, Araneae, Eresidae. The record is from RefSeq and is a predicted model, not a curated record.
UUUUUAUUUAACAAAUCUGGCAACACAGAAGACACGAACUGAAAGAAAACAAGUGGCAGCAUGUCACAACAAGCUUUAGCAUAACUGACACGACCACCAGUUGAACUGUGAUUAAAUGCAGAUGUCCUAGUUUGUAAGUAAAAGAAGAAUACUUAUGACUUGUUUCUGUCAAAGAAAUCAAGCUAUGCUAGUACUGAAUGGAAGUUUCACUUUCUGUAGGAAGUGCAAAUUACGCAGGCAAACGUGAACGAACAGCUGUGGAUGGAAAUCUCUAUGUCGGAAUGCGAUCUUUUCAAGAGGAAUUUUAAUAGCACCCUGAUACAAUGAAGAGAUAUUUGGAGCAAUUUGGAAGUUUUAAUUUCAACCUAAAGGAAGGUCAAUUAGGAGAAUUAAGCAAAGUCGAAGAACCAGAAUUAAAGAAACAACUUGGAUCAAGAAGUAUGAUCCUAAUUAUAUGAAGUAUAGAUUCGCCAUGAAAUUCGGAACAGAAACUGAACCUAUUCCACAGUGCGUAAUCUGUUUUGAGUGCUUAUCAAACAGGACUACGAAGCCAGCUCUUUUGAAAAGGUAUUUCUAUAGCAAACAUUCGAGUGCAAAAGACAAAACUCUUGACUUUUUAAAAAGAAAACGUUCAGAGGUUUGCCCUCAAAAAUCAGUUGUCAAAACUUUGAGUAGUAUAAACAGUAAUUAUGUGAAAGCAUCAUAUUUAGCUAUUUUGCAUAUAGCUAAGUGCGGAAAACCACAUACAGUUGUAAGGUUUCCCUUAUUUUGCAUACAAAAUUUAUUUUAAGUUUGAUACCUUUACUGAACUUCUCAACUUCCCCUCAAAUUCCAUCGCCAGGCAUUAUUAUAUGUAUCAUAAAUUAAAAUUGUAAAUUGUAUUACGAAGUGCGUAUUUAACGGGUGAAUGUCUGAGUUUAUGCAGAGCGUGUUGUCGUUAGCCAGCGCACGUUUCGUUGUUAUGCUAGUCAGCCUCUUGGCAUUUCGGAUUAUCAUCACGCCUGUUAGGUUUUUGUGAGUCAAUCUGUUAGGCUUAACUUACGUGCUAUCCAGCACUACUUAUUUUAGAUUUUUGACUUGAAUUAUAUUCUACGAUUUUUAUUUCACCGCAAGUUUGACGGUGCCAUUGGUAACGCACGAAUAUCGUGCCUUUCUGUAAACUAUUUAAAUUUAAUAAAGGGUUACUUUCCCCCUUCUUCUGUGCUGGUAUUUAUUCGCGCUUGUGCGAGAAUUCGCCAGGUUCAUUAUAGGAUCUAAUUUCGUUUACGUGAGAAAAGAGAGAACGACCCUACAUAGUGAAGCAUUUUUGAUGCCAGCAACAAAGAAUAUAAUUGCAUCUGUCCUUGGAGAGAAAGCGACUAAAGAAAUUGACAAAGUACACUUUUACUUCACACCGAAGUACGGUGAUUGUUACGUGGUAAAGUCCUCAGUCGAUUAUUUGAGUUACGCGAUGACAUUUAUAUGUUUUUGACCAAUUCAAAAUAUUCCAACGGAGAUAAUUUAAUUGAUGAGCGAUGGUUGUGAAGACUAGCACACCUUCCAGACAUUUUUCAAGAUUCAAUGAACUAAAUUUGAGUUUGCAAGGAGUUAACAAUUCUGUGUUCGACUUGCAUGACAAAAUAAGUGCGUUCAAGAGAAAACUGCAAUCAGAUCUCUUCUUUAAACUGACAAACAUUGAGCUCGAAAUUACUUCUUUAGUUAAUAAUAAACAGGCUCAACCUUCUCACUAGUUACAUACGUUUUAAACUAAUUAUUAUAUUUUAUGUAGAUGUUUAGCAAUAAAAAUACAUCAAAAG